This 492-nucleotide ribosomal RNA is filed under the name uncultured bacterium. Its description in RNAcentral is "partial 16S ribosomal RNA". It matches the Rfam family "Bacterial small subunit ribosomal RNA", at positions 29 to 507 of the family's 1533-position model. The record is from RNAcentral.
AGUGAACGCUGGCGGUAGGCCUAACACAUGCAAGUCGAACGGCAGCACAGUAAGAGCUUGCUCUUAUGGGUGGCGAGUGGCGGACGGGUGAGGAAUACAUCGGAAUCUACUUUUUCGUGGGGGAUAACGUAGGGAAACUUACGCUAAUACCGCAUACGACCUACGGGUGAAAGCAGGGGAUCUUCGGACCUUGCGCGAUUGAAUGAGCCGAUGUCGGAUUAGCUAGUUGGCGGGGUAAAGGCCCACCAAGGCGACGAUCCGUAGCUGGUCUGAGAGGAUGAUCGGCCACACUGGAACUGAGACACGGUCCAGACUCCUACGGGAGGCAGCAGUGGGGAAUAUUGGACAAUGGGCGCAAGCCUGAUCCAGCCAUACCGCGUGGGUGAAGAAGGCCUUCGGGUUGUAAAGCCCUUUUGUUGGGAAAGAAAAGCAGCAGGUUAAUACCCCGCUGUUCUGACGGUACCCAAAGAAUAAGCACCGGCUAACUUCGUG